This 63-nucleotide transfer RNA is filed under the name Barsine fuscozonata. RNAcentral describes it as "tRNA-Arg". The record is from RNAcentral. Lineage: Eukaryota; Metazoa; Arthropoda; Insecta; Lepidoptera; Erebidae.
AAAUAAGAAGCAAAUUGCAUUUAAUUUCGACUUAAAAGAUUGGGUAAAAUUACCCCUUAUUUA